Molecule: ribosomal RNA, 599 nt
Filed under: uncultured Bacilli bacterium
Lineage: Bacteria; Bacillati; Bacillota; Bacilli
Description: bacterial SSU rRNA
Rfam family: Bacterial small subunit ribosomal RNA
Source: RNAcentral
CCAUCAGAAGGGGAUAACACUUGGAAACAGGUGCUAAUACCGUAUAACAAUCGAAACCGCAUGGUUUCGGUUUGAAAGGCGCUUUUGCGUCACUGAUGGAUGGACCCGCGGUGCAUUAGCUAGUUGGUGAGGUAACGGCUCACCAAGGCAACGAUGCAUAGCCGACCUGAGAGGGUGAUCGGCCACAUUGGGACUGAGACACGGCCCAAACUCCUACGGGAGGCAGCAGUAGGGAAUCUUCGGCAAUGGACGGAAGUCUGACCGAGCAACGCCGCGUGAGUGAAGAAGGUUUUCGGAUCGUAAAACUCUGUUGUUAGAGAAGAACAAGGAUGAGAGUAGAAUGUUCAUCCCUUGACGGUAUCUAACCAGAAAGCCACGGCUAACUACGUGCCAGCAGCCGCGGUAAUACGUAGGUGGCAAGCGUUGUCCGGAUUUAUUGGGUGUAAAGCGAGCGCAGGCGGUUUCUUAAGUCUGAUGUGAAAGCCCCCGGCUCAACCGGGGAGGGUCAUUGGAAACUGGGAAACUUGAGUGCAGAAGAGGAGAGUGGAAUUCCAUGUGUAGCGGUGAAAUGCGUAGAUAUAUGGAGGAACACCAGUGGC